CCUACGGGAGGCAGCAGUGAGGAAUAUUGGUCAAUGGACGAGAGUCUGAACCAGCCAAGUAGCGUGAAGGAUGACUGCCCUAUGGGUUGUAAACUUCUUUUAUAUGGAAACAAAAUGUUCCACGUGUGGGAUUUUGUAUGUACCAUAUGAAUAAGGAUCGGCUAACUCCGUGCCAGCAGCCGCGGUAAUACGGAGGAUCCGAGCGUUAUCCGGAUUUAUUGGGUUUAAAGGGAGCGUAGGAGGGUUGUUAAGUCAGUUGUGAAAGUUUGCGGCUCAACCGUAGAAUUGCAGUUGAAACUGGCAGUCUUGAGUACAGUAGAGGUGGGCGGAAUUCGUGGUGUAGCGGUGAAAUGCUUAGAUAUCACGAAGAACUCCGAUUGCGAAGGCAGUUCACUGGACUGCAACUGACACUGAGGCUCGAAAGUGUGGGUAUCAAACAGGAUUAGAUACCCGAGUAGUC
RNAcentral lists this ribosomal RNA (460 nucleotides) under uncultured bacterium. RNAcentral describes it as "partial 16S ribosomal RNA". It matches the Rfam family "Bacterial small subunit ribosomal RNA", at positions 338 to 795 of the family's 1533-position model. The record is from RNAcentral.